CACCAAAACUCUUUGUCAGGAUGCUUUUCCUUUUAGAUUUUACUUUUAGAACGGUAAAUUCUUGCUACAAAAGGGUCUGUUAAAGUUUUGGGAAAGUAAUAACUGUUCUUUCUACCCUCCUGAGUUUUUCAGGUAACAAGUAGAAUUCUAAAGAGGACAAUUUUUCGUUUUGAAAGAUAUACCUUUGAAGAUACCGAACAGCUAGGAUUUUAUGAGUUGAAUUUUGUUGUGUUCCCACUCUUCACGAGUGUUUAUACACCCAUAACAUUAUUCGUAGUAAAAAACCUAACAUUC
RNAcentral lists this small nucleolar RNA (294 nucleotides) under Huiozyma naganishii CBS 8797. RNAcentral describes it as "Kazachstania naganishii CBS 8797 Small nucleolar RNA snR191". It matches the Rfam family "Small nucleolar RNA snR191". The record is from Rfam by way of RNAcentral. Lineage: Eukaryota; Fungi; Ascomycota; Saccharomycetes; Saccharomycetales; Saccharomycetaceae.